UUAAGUGCAUAUAAUUCCCAGUUUCCUCAGUUUCUUCUUCUCCAUAGUUUCUUUCCAUCGUUAACCAUCAUCGUCAUCGUCUCCGAUUUUCUUCCCCAUUGUUUCUUCCUUCCACAGUUUCUUCUUCCCCAUUGUUUUUUUUUUUAAAAACCUUAAAAUCCAUCCUUGAGCUUCGGCCUUCCUUGUCUCCGAUUUUAUUUUCCGUUCGUCAGAUGGCCUCCAUUUUUCAACUGAAUCUUCAGUUCAUUUUCAUCACUGCUAUCGCCCCCUAUUGCCCCCUAACAAACCCAUUACCCCCUAACAGUUCAUUUUCAUCACUGUUAUCUCUAGUUCAUUUUCAUUAGAUAGCCUCCCACCAAACCCAUUUCCCCCUAACAGAACCACCAUACCCAUCUACCAUCACCCCCUGUCCCUAAUAUAACCCAUUUUCCCAUCGUUGAACCACCACGCCCAAAACCCCCGCAAUACAAUAACCCAAUAUUUUCUCACCAUUUCUCUUCACUUAUUUAACUUCCCAUCCAAGAUAAUAACAUUUUGGUUUCCGCUUCUAUCAAGGUCUUUUGAACCAGAUUGCUUAUUCCCAACCAUGAAGAAAUCAACCCUCUUCUCUAUUUCUCUCGCUACUUCAAUUUCUGCUUGUACUUCCAAUUUUCAGUUUACAAGCGAGUUAAAUAUUAAAGAAACUAUGGAAGGAAGAAACAAUGGGGAAGAAGAUUGGAGAUGACGACGACGAUGGUGAACGAUGGAAAGAAACAAUGGGGAAGACGAAAUUGUGGAAAUUGGAAAUUAUAUGCAUUUAAUAAUUUUAUAUUUAAAAAAAUAGUUUUAAAA
Long non-coding RNA from Gossypium arboreum, 831 nucleotides. RefSeq lists it as uncharacterized. The transcript has 2 exons. The record is from RefSeq and is a predicted model, not a curated record. Lineage: Eukaryota; Viridiplantae; Streptophyta; Magnoliopsida; Malvales; Malvaceae.